Molecule: RNase P RNA, 398 nt
Filed under: Falsirhodobacter algicola
Lineage: Bacteria; Pseudomonadati; Pseudomonadota; Alphaproteobacteria; Rhodobacterales; Paracoccaceae
Description: Bacterial RNase P class A
Rfam family: Bacterial RNase P class A
About the family: Ribonuclease P (RNase P) is a ubiquitous endoribonuclease, found in archaea, bacteria and eukarya as well as chloroplasts and mitochondria. Its best characterised activity is the generation of mature 5'-ends of tRNAs by cleaving the 5'-leader elements of precursor-tRNAs. Cellular RNase Ps are ribonucleoproteins.
Source: Rfam by way of RNAcentral
GCGGAUGGCCGGAUGACCGCGGGGGGCUUGCCCCCUCGAGGAAAGUCCGGACUCCAUGAGGCAAGGGCGCCGGAUAACGUCCGGCCGGGGCAACCCGAGGGAAAGCGCCACAGAGAAGAGUCUGCCCCGCAUGUCGGGGUGAUGGUGAAACGGUGGGGUAAGAGCCCACCGCGGUCCUGGCAACAGGAACGGCAAGGCAAGCCCCGCCCGGAGCAAUGCCGAAUAGGGACCUCGCGCCCCGUAAGGUCUGCCUCGGCAGAGACCACGGUGCAGGGACGCCUCAGCCCAGAGGUCCGGGUUGGCAGCUAGAUCCCGCCGGCAACGGCGGGACCAGAUGAAUGGUCAUCGAAGGGGUUUCGGCCCCGGAACAGAAUCCGGCUUACAGGCCAUCCGCGUCA